UACUUGAGCUUAACUUUCAGACUUAGCUUAUCAACUGCUCAUUUAUACUCAUUUUCCAAGUAAGACCUUUAAGAAACUGCAUAGCGAGGUGCAGUUUAGCAAUGCAUUCGUAUAAUUUUUAAAGCGUUAAUCCUUCAAGGUAGUUCAUCGCAAACCGUCCUCCAGGGUCCCCAAAGCGCUGUUUUCACAAGGACUGUGUUCAGAGAUUUUAGUUGGUCGAUUUUCUCUUCGUGAUGAAGAAACACUCUGCUGUUCAGCUACAGUUGCCUUCGUCUCAGUGUUUGUCAAGACCGCUUUUCAGGUGCCCACCUGAGGAUGGGUUUUAGGGGAAAUGUGUGUGUCCGUCAUGAGCUGUUUCGGUCAGACGUGUGAGCUGGUGCAUUGAGAGGACGCCCAGUGAGGUUCUGAAUCAGAAGGGCAGGACACCUUAGAAGGACGGUCUGUUCUGGAAGGUCGACCCAGCGUCUGAGUUGAAGGCGCUCCGGUGGAGGGCCCCGGAGCGGGGGCCCGGGCCUCGCCACAGCCGGGGUCUCCUGGGACCACCCGGAGCUGGGAGCGGCAGGUGCGGUGUGUGCCGCCGGGCCCCUCGGCUGUCCGUGAAUCAGUCUUCUUAAUGGAUCUGGAGGAAUCCUUCCAUGCCAGGGACCCCACGGAGCUUCCCAGGGGCCAGGCACCGAGACGAGAGCUCAUCUGCCCCGACACUCUUCCCCCUCGCCUCCUGUGAGAGCCCCGUGUCCGACGAGAGCCCAGUGGCCUUGGGCUGCCUGGCCCAGGACUUCCUGCCUGGCUCCAUCACCUUCUCCUGGAGCUACACGAACGGCAUCGCGGUCAGCAGCCAGAGCAUCAAGACCUUCCCGUCCGUCCUGCGGGAGGGCAAGUAUGUGGCCACCUCCCAGGUGCUCCUGCCCUCCCAGAGCGUCCUCCAGGGGUCAGAGCUGAUUUGCAAAGUCCAGCACUCCAAGGGGAAUGUUGAUGUGCCUGUGAUUCCCCCAGUGCUGGUAGAUCUGCCCCCCAACGUGACACUCUUCAUGCCCCCCCGAGACGGCUUCUCUGGCACUUCCAAACGCACGUCCAGGCUCAUCUGUCAGGCCACAGACUUCAGCCCCAGGGAGAUCUCCGUGUCCUGGUUUCGUGAGGGCAAGCGGCUGGUGUCUGGCUUCAUUACGGAAGAUGUGGAAGCCUCAAUGUCCAAUCCAGGGACCUUCAGUGUCAACAGCAUGCUGACCAUCACCGAGAGCGACUGGUUCAGCCAGACUGUGUACACCUGCCAGGUGGAGCACAGAGGGAUGGUCAUCGAGAAGAACGUGUCUUCCCAGUGCAACCCCAGUCCGUCCCCCGGCAUCGAGGCCUUCGCCAUUCCCCCCUCCUUCUCCGACAUCUUCCUCAACAAGUCAGCCAAGCUCACCUGCCUGGUCACAGGCCUGGUCACCUACGACAGCCUGAGAAUUUCCUGGACCCGCCAGGGUGAAAAGGCUGUGGAUUCCCAGAUCAUUGACUCCACGAUCCUCCCCAACGGCACCUUCAGCGCCACGUGUGUGGCGUCAGUCUGCGUGGAGGACUGGGAGUCAGGAGACAGGUUCACGUGCACGGUGACCCACCUGGAUCUGCCCUCACCCCUGAAGCGGAGCAUCUUCAAGCCCACAGAAGUGCACAAGCACAUGCCUUCCGUCUACGUGCUGCCGCCGGCCCGGGAGCAGCUGAGCCUGCGGGAGUCAGCCUCCAUCACCUGCCUGGUGAAGGGCUUCUCCCCUCCGGACGUGUUUGUGCAGUGGCUGAAGAAGGGGGAGCAGGAGCCCCUGUCCCCCGACAACUACGUGACCAGUGCCCCAGUGCCCGAGCCCAACAGCCCGGGCUACUACUUUGUCCACAGCGUCCUGACGGUGAGCGAGAAGGACUGGAGUGCCGGGGCGACCUACACCUGCGUCGUGGGCCAUGAGGCCCUGCCCCACUUGGUGACCGAGAGGACCGUGGACAAGUCCACCGAGGGGGAGGUGAGCGCGGAUGAGGAAGGCUUCGAGAACCUGAACACCAUGGCCUCCACCUUCAUCGUCCUCUUCCUCCUGAGCCUCUUCUACAGCACCACCGUCACCCUGUUCAAGGUGAAGUGACCCCCCAAGCAAGGAUGUGGGAGACCAGAGACGGACAAGACAGGUGCCGCCCGGGGGCCUGGGGUCCCCUGCCUGCGUGGCCCAUCCGCAUGUACUCAGACCUUCCCUGUGUCCCUCUCCAGCUUCAAGCGCUAAGAAACUGGCUUCUCCCAACACGGCCAAACGCCGCAGCCAAGCCGGGUGCCCGCAGCCGUAGGCCCAGCCCGGCCCUGCUUUGUGAUGUCGCUCUUGUGGCCUUGAAAUAAAGACGUCUAUUUUAUCUUGUGAAA
This is a non-coding RNA of Camelus dromedarius (Arabian camel), 2377 nucleotides long. The record is from the annotation of a RefSeq genome assembly. Lineage: Eukaryota; Metazoa; Chordata; Mammalia; Artiodactyla; Camelidae.